AGUGAACGCUGGCGGUAGGCCUAACACAUGCAAGUCGAACGGCAGCACAGUAAGAGCUUGCUCUUACGGGUGGCGAGUGGCGGACGGGUGAGGAAUACAUCGGAAUCUACUUUUUCGUGGGGGAUAACGUAGGGAAACUUACGCUAAUACCGCAUACGACCUACGGGUGAAAGCAGGGGAUCUUCGGACCUUGCGCGAUUGAAUGAGCCGAUGUCGGAUUAGCUAGUUGGCGGGGUAAAGGCCCACCAAGGCGACGAUCCGUAGCUGGUCUGAGAGGAUGAUCAGCCACACUGGAACUGAGACACGGGUCAGGCUCCUACGGGAGGCAGCAGUGGGGAAUAUUGGACAAUGGGCGCAAGCCUGAUCCAGCCAUACCGCGUGGGUGAAGAAGGCCUUCGGGUUGUAAAGCCCUUUUGUUGGGAAAGAAAAGCAGCAGGUUAAUACCCCGCUGUUCUGACGGUACCCAAAGAAUAAGCACCGGCUAACUUCGUG
Molecule: ribosomal RNA, 492 nt
Filed under: uncultured bacterium
Lineage: Bacteria
Description: partial 16S ribosomal RNA
Rfam family: Bacterial small subunit ribosomal RNA
Source: RNAcentral